GGGUAGGCGUAGGCGGCUGAUUAAGUCAGCGGUGAAAGGUAGCAGCUUAACUGUUUUACAUGCCGUUGAUACUGGUUAGCUUGAGUUGACAGAAGGCAGAUAGAAUUCCUGGUGUAGCGGUGAAAUGCUUAGAUACCAGGAGGAAUACCGAUUGCGAAGGCAGUCUGCUGCAGUCACACUGACGCUGAGGCUCGAAGGUGCGGGGAUCAAACAGGAUUAGAUACCCGGGU
Molecule: ribosomal RNA, 230 nt
Filed under: uncultured bacterium
Lineage: Bacteria
Description: partial 16S ribosomal RNA
Rfam family: Bacterial small subunit ribosomal RNA
Source: RNAcentral